This 189-nucleotide ribosomal RNA is filed under the name Bacillus sp. BA3. RNAcentral's name for it is "partial 16S ribosomal RNA". It matches the Rfam family "Bacterial small subunit ribosomal RNA", at positions 1 to 186 of the family's 1533-position model. Lineage: Bacteria; Bacillati; Bacillota; Bacilli; Caryophanales; Bacillaceae. The record is from RNAcentral.
UCUUCGGAGAGUUUGAUCCUGGCUCAGGACGAACGCUGGCGGCGUGCCUAAUACAUGCAAGUCGAGCGAAUCGAUGGGAGCUUGCUCCCUGAGAUUAGCGGCGGACGGGUGAGUAACACGUGGGCAACCUGCCUAUAAGACUGGGAUAACUUCGGGAAACCGGAGCUAAUACCGGAUACGUUCUUUUCU